RNAcentral lists this ribosomal RNA (496 nucleotides) under uncultured bacterium. RNAcentral describes it as "partial 16S ribosomal RNA". It matches the Rfam family "Bacterial small subunit ribosomal RNA", at positions 29 to 523 of the family's 1533-position model. The record is from RNAcentral.
AUUGAACGCUGGCGGCAUGCUUUACACAUGCAAGUCGAACGGUAGAGGGGGCAACCCCUUGAGAGUGGCGAACGGGUGAGUAAUGCAUCGGAACGUGCCCAGUCGUGGGGGAUAACGCAGCGAAAGCUGUGCUAAUACCGCAUACGAUCUCUGGAUGAAAGCGGGGGACCGAAAGGCCUCGCGCGAUUGGAGCGGCCGAUGUCAGAUUAGGUAGUUGGUGGGGUAAAGGCUCACCAAGCCAACGAUCUGUAGCUGGUCUGAGAGGACGACCAGCCACACUGGGACUGAGACACGGCCCAGACGCCUACGGGAGGCAGCAGUGGGGAAUUUUGGACAAUGGGCGCGAGCCUGAUCCAGCAAUGCCGCGUGCAGGAAGAAGGCCUUCGGGUUGUAAACUGCUUUUGUACGGAACGAAAAGGUCUGGGUUAAUACCCUGGGCACAUGACGGUACCGUAAGAAUAAGCACCGGCUAACUACGUGCCAGCCGCCGCAGUAA